AGACAGUUCGGUCCAUAUCCGGUGCAGGCGUAAGAGCAUUGAGAGGAUCCCUCCUUAGUACGAGAGGACCGGGAGGGACGCACCGCUGGUGUGCCAGUUAUCGUGCCAACGGUAAACGCUGGGUAGCCAAGUGCGGCGCGGAUAACCGCUGAAAGCAUCUAAGUGGGAAGCCCACCUCAAGAUGAGUGCUCUCACUACAUAAGUAGGUAAGGUCACAGGAAGAUUACCUGUUGAUAGGCGCCAGGUGGAAGUGCAGUAAUGCAUGCAGCCGAAGCGUACUAAUAGACCGAG
Molecule: ribosomal RNA, 291 nt
Filed under: Picocystis salinarum
Lineage: Eukaryota; Viridiplantae; Chlorophyta; Picocystophyceae; Picocystales; Picocystaceae
Description: partial Bacterial large subunit ribosomal RNA
Rfam family: Bacterial large subunit ribosomal RNA
Source: RNAcentral